This is a long non-coding RNA of Caretta caretta (loggerhead turtle), 1634 nucleotides long. RefSeq lists it as uncharacterized. NCBI's taxonomy places the organism in Eukaryota, Metazoa, Chordata, Testudines, Cheloniidae. The record is from RefSeq and is a predicted model, not a curated record.
GAGGAAGUUAAGUCUGGACAUGCAAGGAGAGCACCUAGUGUUCAGGUUCUAUAAGAAGGGCAAUCCACCAUGUUAGAGAAGUUCGUUCAUUGUUUAGUUAGUUCAUUAUUUCGUUUUUCAUAGUUAAUUCUUAAGUAAAUUCUAAAUUAGCUUCUAUAGUUUUUCUAUAGCUUUAGCUCUAGCUUCUACUAAGUUAUUCACCUCCCACUCAAGAUUCGAGAAACCUGAAUCAUUGGACUCUUUUGGCAUGCCAGAGGCGAGGCUGGUUCUUUGUCUCUUACCACCAGGUUAUCCAGAAAGGGCACAGAGACAUGAAUCUGAAAGAAGUGCCCUGUAAAGCAGUGAAAAGGAAACAGAGGAAAAAGAGGGGACACAAUGCAGAAAGUAGACAAAAGCUGAAGAAAAAUACCUCUCACAACAAAAUUUGAGGGAAAAAAAUGAAACCUCACAAUUUUGCAUAUACUUUUUCCUAAAAAAACUAAGUGCAAGCUCAUUGCUUCUGAAAACCUGCAGAAUGAAAAUGACUUUGACAUGUUCAAACUUUUUCUGCAAAAUGUUUUCCCUUUCCUGACCAGCCCUACUUCCAACUCCUUUGGGCUUCCAUGAGAACAAUGGCGAUUGCUAGGGUCUGAACACUUGUGAAGAUUUUAUCCCUUCAUCUAGAUGCCUCAAUGAGAGCUCUUUUGAAAAUCUGGCCCAAUUGUGGGUGCUGAGGUCUUUUGAAAAACUGCCCUUUUGUGAUUUUUUUUUCAGCUGAAGAAAUGCCAUCACAAGUCGGUGCAAAUUAGGGGCUCGAUCCUGCUCCAUUUGAAGUCAGUGGCAGUUUUGUCAUUGACUUCAGUGAGAGCCAAAAUAAACCCCUAAUAGGAACUGAAGAGGGGAGUGUGUGGAAGGAUGGGGACUGAUGGAUGAAUCAACAAUCUCUCUUCUUCCAUUCUCCCCUUUAAAAUCUCAGCAGUAGCAGACUGCUUUAUGCCUAGCCCAUUUCAUUCUGUUGACAUCUCUUGGGAGACAGCUUUUUUAAAAUAAAAAUUACUAAAUUAGCUAUUAAUAGCAAAAAUUAUUAAUACAGGAAUAAGGCAUAAAACAUACGAGUCUCCUUCUAACACCACAGAGCAAUCUUUAAAGAUUACUUUACUAUUCACCAUAAAUAUUUAUACAGUAAUAUAGGUGGCCCCAAUUGUUGGUGACAAAAAUAAUAAGAUAUAACAUAUUUUUGUCCUCAAACUUCUAAAACGUAGGGAUCCAGUAAUGGAGGAAGGUUAGAUCCUGCUCAUCCAUUCUCCUUAGGGGUGUCUGGCCCUGGUGGUCAAAGCCCAUUGAAGACAAUGAGGAUCAGAACUCAGCAGAACUGCUUGUUUGGAGUCCAAGGUGUUCAUUCGGAAACCCAGCAGGGCAAAUUCUUCACACAGCAAAACUCUGAUGCACAAUCAGCUGUUUCCCAAAUAGAUAAAAAGGACUCAAAUGUAACAUUUCAAUCAUGAUCUCUGUAGAAUCAACUCAUUUCUCUCCUGUGGUGUAUUUUGCCUGUAAAAUUGACAAAUAACAGGUAAUGCACCUCAAGGGGAUUUCGGCCCAAUGAAAGGGUAAAAACUGCUUGAGGCAAGGGAGCUAGUAGUCUUUUGAAAAACCAA